UCGACACAGGUAAGCUGCAUGGCUGUCGUCAGCUCGUGUCGUGAGAGUGUUGGUUAAGUCCGUAACGAGCGCAACCCUUGUCCUUAGUUACCAGCACGUUAUGGUGGGCACUCUAAGGAGACUGCCGGUGACAAACCGGAGGAAGGUGGGGAUGACGUCAAGUCAUCAUGGCCCUUACGGCCUGGGCUACACACGUGCUACAAUGGUCGGUACAAAGGGUUGCCAAGCCGCGAGGUGGAGCUAAUCCCAUAAAACCGAUCGUAGUCCGGAUCGCAGUCUGCAACUCGACUGCGUGAAGUCGGAAUCGCUAGUAAUCGUGAAUCAGAAUGUCACGGUGAAUACGUUCCCGGGCCUU
Molecule: ribosomal RNA, 355 nt
Filed under: uncultured Pseudomonas sp.
Lineage: Bacteria; Pseudomonadati; Pseudomonadota; Gammaproteobacteria; Pseudomonadales; Pseudomonadaceae
Description: bacterial SSU rRNA
Rfam family: Bacterial small subunit ribosomal RNA
Source: RNAcentral